CUCAAAACACCCCAUAAUAUCUUCAAUGAGCUGAAUUUUUGAAGCCCAGAAUGGUUUCUGUAGCUCAAAGUUUGUGGGUGGAGAUAGGUGGUGAAGCAGACACAUAUUAACUGUGUGUACAAGCAGCUGAACUGCAAGGUGGACCUCAAAAAGCAACAAGUACAAGAAUGUGUGUGCGUGUGUGUGUGUGUGUGUGUGUCUCGUUAAUGACUGCAUCCUAAACAGCUGUGAGAUCAAAGGCAAAUCACUAACCUACUGUUUGACUGAGAGGUGCUGAACUGCAGUCAAUUUCAGCCUGUGAACUUCUUCACAUAGCGUGAUUUCCUUAAGUCCCAGAAUGAAAAUAAGAACAUCGUACGAAUCCUCAGUCCUUCAUGAACACAAUGAUGUGUUUUUCAUGUCUGUACUUCGAAAAAUGAGGCCACAACAGCGAGUUAAAAAAGUCUGAGCCUGAGCGAUGAUCCGGAUUUUCUUGGAGAUAAAUAACAUUACGGUCAAUGGGAGAGAUUUCCGCCUUUUUUGGACAGUUGGUCACCUGCUGGCCAAGGGGUGCGAUUUAAUGAUUUGAAACCUCUUUUGUGAGAAGCAGGACACAUAUACCUCCAUUUUGAUGUAUUAUUUGUGUCAGUGGAGUGAGAUUUGUGGGCGUGGGAGCGAUAUAUUCGAGCGAGGUUCUGUCGAUCAGAGACGAGGUCUGCACUCUAGCUGAUGACAUCAUCACUCUAAACUCUCCAAUACACACCCAUUAUAAAGCUUGAAAUUUGCUGAAAACCACAAGUUGCUUAAAGCUAAAUUGUGGAAGAACUGUAGAAGAUAUCAAAAAACCAAGUACAACUGUAAUAGUCGACAAGUGAGUGAACAUUUUAAAGCAAAAAUGAGGUCUCUAGGUGAAAGUAUGCUGAAGUUAUAAGGUCUAGAAGGUGGAAGAAUGAAAGGAAGAAGUUGAAGAUUUCCCCAUUGACUUCAAUGUUAAAAUUUUUGCACAAAAAGUUAAAAAAAUCAAAAAGUAUAAAAGGUAGAAGAGUGAAAAGUAAUAGCCAUCAUGUCCUGAAGGAGUGGAAUAGUUUAAAGUUUGAACGGUUGAAAUCGGACAAAGUUUGAAGGAGGAGAAGCGUUGCAAAAAAGGGACGGAAGAAUAAUAAUAAUAAUAAUAAUAAUAAUAAGUUUAAUAAAGAAACAGGAGAAUAACAAUAAGUGGAAAUGCCUAUCAGCAUUUCCACUUAACUAGAAAAAUUGCAUUUCCUUGCAGAAAAUGCGUGGAAAUGCUGAGUGCUGAAAGCUGAAAAAGCAAUGCUAAACUGCUAAUAAAACAUGGAGAAAGGUAUAAAUGUUAAAGCUGUUGAAGGGGUGAAAAAGAAGUAUAGUAAGUAAGGACAAAUAGUAUGAAUAUGCUCUAUAAAAGGAAAUUUGAUUCAUGCUUAAAGAGGCUAGAAAAAUGUCUAAAAUUGCACAAAGUUCGAUUGAAGAAGGAAAUUGCCUUAAAAGGCAGGAAGGUGAGAAGUGGCAUAAGUUUAAGUUGUAGUACUAGAAGUAGUAUGAUAAGAAGUCAAGUCGUGAUACUAGUAGUCAUGUCAGCAGUAGAAGUAGUUUGAGAAUAAAAGAACUAUAGUCAAUAGCAGUAGUAGAGAAAGUAGAAAUAGGAGCAAUAGCAGUUGAAGUAGAGGGGAAAGUUCUAGUUUAAUUGACAUUAGCAGUAGUUGUCGUACUUGAGGUAGGAUUUUGUUUGAAGGAUGGAGUAAUGCAUAAAUAUUAAAACUAAUUUAAAACAGGAAAAUUUAAAUAUUAAAAAUCCUCAAGUAUCAGAAGUUUUAAGUAUUAGAAAGGUUUGAAUCAGUUUGAAUGAGUUUAAAUUAGUUUGAAAAAUUAAAUGAUAAAUCAUCACUGAGUGACUUAUAAAAGUGAAAAAUGUAAAUGAAUAUAAAUCCUGAAUACACCCCAUAAUGUCCUCAAUGAGCUUAAAUUUUAAAGCCCUAAAUGGUUUCUGUAGGUCAAAGGUCAUGUGAGGAGAUACGGGCUUAGGUUUUUUCAAGCGCUCUAGGAAAGGGUUUUAAGUGUCAUCCCCAGUGCUAUGUGUACUGAGCCUGGCUUCAUGUGUCUCAUAUGGCCAUUAGAAGCAGCUUUCCAGUCAGCUGUGUGUCUCCAGGUGCACAAAUUGGUUGCCAUGGGGACCUUGGAUGCAUAACUAUAGCAGGAGAAAGAAGGCUUGAAGCUAAGGAAACAGGACUCCAAGUAGGCCCUGACGCUCAUCGUCUGUAUAUAUUCAUGAUAAGGAGCUUGUGAGAACACAAGAUUUUGCUGAACACAUUAAUACAAUUUAUUAUCACAAUCCUCAAAACACCCCAUAAUAUCUUCAAUGAGCUGAAUUUUUCAAGCCCAAAAUGGUUUCUGUAGCUCAAAGUUUGUGGGUGGAGAUAGGUGGUGAAGCAGACACAUAAUACCUGUGUACAAGCAGCUGAACUGCAAGGUAGACCUGACAAUGCAACAAGUACAAGAAUGUGUGUGUGUGUGUGUGUGUGUGUGUGUGUGUGUGUGUGUCUCGUUAAUGAUUGCAUCCUAAACAGCUGUGAGAUCAAAGGCAAAUUACUGACCUACUGUUUGACUGAGAGGUGCUGAACUGCUGAGGAUUUAUAGCCUCUGAACUUCUUCACAUAGCGUGAUUUCCUUAAGUCCCCGAAUGAAAAUAAGAACAUCGUACGAAUCCUCGGGCCUUCAUGAACACAAUGAUGUCUUUUUCAUGUCUGUACUCCGAAAAAUGUGGCCACAACAGCGAGUUAAAAAAGUCUGAGCCUGAGUGGGGAUAAGGAUUUUCUUGGAGAAGAAAUACAUUAGGUCUAAUGGGGAGAGAUUUCCGCCUAUUUGGACAGUUGGUCACCUGCUGGCCAAGGGGUACGAUUUAAUGAUUUGAAACCUCUUUUGUGAGAAGCAGGACACAUAUACCUCCAUUUUGAUGUAUUUUUUAUGGCUGUGGAGUGAGAUUUGUGGGCGUGGGAGCGAUAUAUUUGAACGAGGUUCUGUCGAUCAGAGACGAGGUCUGCACUCUAGCUUUUCAAAUCAUCACUCUAGCCUCUCCAAUACACCCCAUUAUAAAGCCUGAAAUUUGCUGAAAACCACAAGUUGCUUAAAGCUAAAUUGUGGAAAAACUGUAAAAGAUAGCACAAAAAGUUAAUACAACAUCAAUAGUCGACAAGACAAUGAACAUUUUAAAGCAAAAAUGAGGUCUCUAGGUGAAAGUAUGCUGAAGUUAUAAGGCUUAGAAGGUGGAAGAAUAAAAGGAAGAAUUGGAAGAUUUCCCCAUUCAUUUUAUGGGAAAAAAAGUUUGAAACAAAAAGUGAAAAAUAAUAAAAAGUAUAAAGGGUAGAAAAGAGAAAAGUAAUAGCCAUCAUGUCCUGAAGGAGUGGAAUAGUUUAAAGUUUGAACGGUUGAAAUCGGACAAAGUUUGAAGGAGGAGAAGCGGUCCAAAGAAACGUAUGGGGAGAGUGUUAAGUAUAAUACUAGAAAAAUUGCAUUUCCUUGCAGAAAAUGCGUGGAAAUGCUGAGUGCUGAAAGCUGAAAAAGCAAUGCUAAACUGCUAAUAAAACAUGGAGAAAGGUAUAAAUGUUAAAGCUGUUGAAGGGGUGAAAGAAAUAUAAGUUGGAUAAUUGAUUAAUUGGUUGAAGGACAAAUAGUAUGAAUAUGCUCUAUAAAAGGAAAUUUUAUUCAUGCUGAAAGAGGCUAGAAAAAUGUCUAAAAUUGCACAAAGUUUGAAUGAAGAAGGAAAUUGCCUUAAAAGGCAGGAAGGUGAGAAGUGGCAUAAGUUUAAUUUUUUAAGUAUUAGAAAGGUUUGAAUCAGUUUGAAUCAGUUCAAAUUAGUUUGAAAAAUUAAAUGAUAAAUCAUCACUGAGUGACUUUAAAAUGUGAAAAAUCUAAAUGUAUAUAAAUCCUAAAUACACCCCAUAAUGUCCUCAAUGAGCUCAAAUUUUAAAGCCCUGAAUGGUUUCUGUAGGUCAAAGGUCAUGUGAGGAGAUAGGGGCUGAAGUUUUUUCAAGCGCUCUAGUAAAGGGUUUUAAGUGUCAUCCCCAGUGCUAUGUGUGCUGAGCCUGGCUUCAUGUGUCUCAUAUGGCCAUUAGAAGCAGCUUUCCAGUCAGCUGUGUGUCUCCAGGUGCACUAAUUGGUUGCCAUGGGGACCUUGGAUGCAUAACUAUAGCAGGAGAAAGAAGGCUUGAAGCUAAGGAAACAGGACUCCAAGUAGGCCCUGACGCUCAUCCUCUGUAUCUAUUCCUGAUAAGGAGCUUGUGAGAACACAAGACUCUGCUAAACACAUUAAUACAAUUUAUUAUCACAAUCCUCAAAACACCCCAUAAUAUCUUCAAUGAGCUGAAUUUUUGAAGCCCAGAAUGGUUUCUGUAGCUCAAAGUUUGUGGGUGGAGAUAGGUGGCGAAGCAGACACAUAUUAACUGUGUGUACAAGCAGCUGAACUGCAAGGUAGACCUCAUAAAGCAACAAGUACAAGAAUGUGUGUGUGUGUGUGUGUGUGUCUCGUUAAUGACUGCAUCCUAAACAGCUGUGAGAUCAAAGGCAAAUCACUGACCUACUGUUUGAAUGAGAAGCAGCUGAACUGCAGAGGAUUUAGAGGCUCUAAACUUCUUCACAUAGCGUGAUUUCCUUAAGUCACAGAAUGAAAAUAAGAACAUCGUACGAAUCCUCCGCCCUUCAUGAACACAAUGAAGUAUUUUUCAUGUCUGUACUCCGACAGAUGUGGCCACAACAGCGAGUUAAAAAAGUCUGAGCCUGAGCGAUGAUCCGGAUUUUCUUGGAGAAAAUUAACAUUACGGUCAAUGGGAGAGAUUUCCGCCUUCUUUGGACAGUUGGUCACCUGCUGGCCAAGGGGUACGAUUUAAUGAUUUGAAACCUCUUUUGUGAGAAGCAGGACACAUAUACCUCCAUUUUGAUGUAUUAUUUGUGUCAGUGGAGUGAGAUUUGUGGGCGUGGGAGCGAUAUAUUCGAGCGAGGUUCUGUCGAUCAGAGACGAGGUCUGCACUCUAGCUGAUGACAUCAUCACUCUAAACUCUCCAAUACACACCCAUUAUAAAGCUUGAAAUUUGCUGAAAACCACAAGUUGCUUAAAGCUAAAUUGUGGAAAAACUGUAAGAGAUAUCAAAAAACUGAGUACAACUUUAAUAGUCGACAAGUGAAUGAACAUUUUAAAGCAAAAAUGAGGUCUCUAGGUGAAAGUAUGCUGAAGUUAUAAGGUCUAGAAGGUGGAAGAAUAAAAGGAAGAAUUGGAAGAUUUCCCCAUUGACUUUAAUGUUAAAAUUUUUGCACAAAAAGUUAAAAAAAACAAAAAGUAUAAAUGUUAGAAAAGUGAAAAGUAAUAGCAAACGUGUCCUGAAGGAGUGGAAUAGUUUAAAGUUUGAACGGUUGAAAUCGGACAAACUGGGAAGGAGUUGAAAGCGGACGAAAAACGGCGGAAGAAUAAUAAUAAUAAUAAUAAUAAAGAAACGGGAGAAUAACAAUAAGUGGAAAUGCCUAUCAGCAUUUCCACUUAACUAGAAAAAUUGCAUUUCCUUGCAGAAAAUGCGUGGAAAUGCUGAGUGCUGAAAGCUGAAAAAGCAAUGCUAAACUGCUAAUAAAACAUGGAGAAAUGUAUAAAUGUUAAAGCUGUUGAAGGGGUGUGAAAGAAAUGUAAGUUGGAUAAUUGAUUAAUUGGUUGAAGGACAAAUAGUAUGAAUAUGCUCUAUAAAAAGAAAUUUUAUUCAUGCUGAAAGAGGCUAGAAAAAUGUCUAAAAUUGCACAAAGUUUGAAUGAAGAAGGAAAUUGCCUUAAAAGGCAGGAAGGUGAGAAGUGGCAUAAGUUUAAUUUUUUAAGUAUUAGAAAGGUUUGAAUCAGUUUAAAUGAGUUCAAAUUAGUUUGAAUAAUUAAAUGAUAAAUCAUCACUGACUGACUUUUAAAAUGUGAAAAAUUUAAAUGAAUAACAAUCCUAAAUACACCCAAUAAUGUCCUCAAUGAGCUCAAAUUUUAAAGCCCUGAAUGGUUUCUGUAGGUCAAAGGUCAUGUGAGGAGAUAGGGGCUGAAGGUUUUUCAAGCGCUCUAGGAAAGGGUUUUAAGUGUCAUCCCCAGUGCUAUGUGUGCUGAGUCUGGCUUCAUGUGUCUCAUAUGGCCAUUAGAAGCAGCUUUCCAGUCAGCUGUGUGUCUCCAGGUGCACUAAUUGGUUGCCAUGGGGACCUUGGAUGCAUAACUAUAGCAGGAGAAAGAAGGCUUGAAGCUAAGGAAACAGGACUCCAAGUAGGCCCUGACGCUCAUCCUCUGUAUCUAUUCCUGAUAAGGAGCUUGUGAGAACACAAGACUCUGCUAAACACAUUAAUACAAUUUAUUAUCACAAUCCUCAAAACACCCCAUAAUAUCUUCAAUGAGCUGAAUUUUAGAAGCCCAGAAUGGUUUCUGUAGCUCAAAGUUUGUGGGUGGAGAUAGGUGGUGAAGCAGACACAUAUUAACUGUGUGUACAAGCAGGUGAACUGCAAGGUGGACCUCAAAAAGCAACAAGUACAAGAAUGUGUGUGCGUGUGUGUGUGUGUGUCGUUAAUGACUGCAUCCUAAACAGCUGUGAGAUCAAAGGCAAAUCACUAACCAACUGUUUGACUGAGAGGUGCUGAACUGCAGUGAAUUUCAGCCUGUGAACUUCUUCACAUAGCGUGAUUUCCUUAAGUCCCAGAAUGAAAAUAAGAACAUUGUACGAAUCCUCCGUCCUUCAUGAACACAAUGAUGUGUUUUUCAUGUCUGUACUUCGAAAAAUGAGGCCACAACAGCGAGUUAAAAAAGUCUGAGCUUGAGCGAUGAUCCGGAUUUUCUUGGAGAAAAAUAACAUUACAGUCAAUGGGAGAGAUUUCCGCCUUUUUUGGACAGUUGGUCACCUGCUGGCCAAGGGGUACGAUUUAAUGAUUUGAAACCUCUUUUGUGAGAAGCAGGACACAUAUACCUCCAUUUUGAUGUAUUAUUUGUGUCAGUGGAGUGAGAUUUGUGGGCGUGGGAGCGAUAUAUUCGAGCGAGGUUCUGUCGAUCAGAGACGAGGUCUGCACUCUAGCUGAUGACAUCAUCACUCUAAACUCUCCAAUACACACCCAUUAUAAAGCUUGAAAUUUGCUGAAAACCACAAGUUGCUUAAAGCUAAAUUGUGGAAAAACUGUAAAAGAUAUCAAAAAACUGAGUACAACUAUAAUAGUCGACAAGUGAAUGAACAUUUUAAAGCAAAAAUGAGGUCUCUAGGUGAAAGUAUGCUGAAGUUAUAAGGUCUAGAAGGUGGAAGAAAAAAAGGAAGAAGUGGAAGAUUUCCCCAUUGACUUCAAUGUUAAAAUUUUUGCACAAAAAGUUAAAAAAAUCAAAAAGUAUAAAGGGUAGAAAAGUGAAAAGUAAUAGCACACAUGUCCUGAAGGAGUGGAAUAGUUUAAAGUUUGAAUGGUUGAAAUCGGACAAAGUUUGAAGGAGGAGAAGCGUGACAAAAAACGGCGGAAGAAUAAUAAUAAUAAGAUUAAAGAAACAGGAGAAUAACAAUAAGUGGAAAUGCUUAAUCAGCAUUUCCACUUAACUAGAAAAAUUGCAUUUCCUUGCAGAAAAUGCGUGGAAAUGCUGAGUGCUGAAGCUGAAAAAGCAAUGCUAAACUGCUAAUAAAACAUGGAGAAAGGUAUAAAUGUUAAAGCUGUUGAAGGGGUGAAAAAGAAAUAUAAGUUGGAUAAUUGAUUAAUUGGUUGAAGGACAAAUAGUAUGAAUAUGCUCUUUAAAAGUAAAUUCUAUUCAUGCUGAAAGAGGCUAGAAAAAUGUCUAAAAUUGCACAAAGUUUGAAUGAAGAAGGAAAUUGCCUUAAAAGGCAGGAAGGUGAGAAGUGGCAUAAGUUUAAAUUGUAGUACUAGAAGUAGUAUGAUAAGAAGUCAAGUUGUGAUACUAGUAGUCAUGUCAGCAGUAGAAGUAGAUUGAGAAUAAAAGAAGUAUAAGUCAAAGUAGUAAAGAAAGUAGAAAUAGGAGCAAUAGCAGUUGAAGUAGAGGGGAAAGUUCUAGUUUAAUUGACAUUAGCAGUAGUUGUCGUACUUGAGGUAGGAUUUUGUUUGAAUGAUGGAGUAAUGCAUAAAUAUUAAAACUAAUUUAAAACAGGAAAAUUUUAAAUUAUCAAAAGUCCUCAAGUAUCAGAAAGUUUUGAAGUAUUAGAAAGGUUUGAAUCAGUUUGAAUGAGUUUAAAUUAGUUUGAAAAAUUAAAUGAUAAAUCAUCACUGAGUGACUUUAAAAUGUGAAAAAUUUAAAUGAAUAUAAAUCCUAAAUACACCCCAUAAUGUCCUCAAUGAGCUUAAAUUUUAAAGCCCUGAAUGGUUUCUGUAGGUCAAAGGUCAUGUGAGGAGAUAGGGGCUGAAGUUUUUUCAACGCUCUAGGAAAGGGUUUUAAGUGUCAUCCCAAGUGCUAUGUGUACUGAGCCUGGCUUCAUGUGUCUCAUAUGGCCAUUAGAAGCAGCUUUCCAGUCAGCUGUGUGUCUCCAGGUGCACAAAUUGGUUGCCAUGGGGACCUUGGAUGCAUAACUAUAGCAGGAGAAAGAAGGCUUGAAGCUAAGGAAACAGGACUCCAAGUAGGCCCUGACGCUCACCCUCUGUAUAUAUUCAUAAGGAGCUUGUGAGAACACAAGACUCUGCUGAACACAUUAAUACAAUUUAUUAUCACAAUCCUCAAAACACCCCAUAAUAUCUUCAAUGAGCUGAAUUUUUGAAGCCCAGAAUGGUUUCUGUAGCUCAAAGUUUGUGGGUGGAGAUAGGUGGUGAAGCAGACACAUAUUAACUGUGUGUACAAGCAGCUGAACUGCAAGGUGGACCUCAAAAAGCAACAAGUACAAGAAGGUGUGUGUGCGUGUGCGUGUGUGUGUGUGUGUGUGUGUGUGUGUCUCGUUAAUGACUGCAUCCUAAACAGCUGUGAGAUCAAAGGCAAAUCACUAACCUACUGUUUGACUGAGAGGUGCUGAACUGCAGUGAAUUUCAGCCUGUGAACUUCUUCACAUAGCGUGAUUUCCUUAAGUCCCAGAAUGAAAAUAAGAACAUCGUACGAAUCCUCCGUCCUUCAUGAACACAAUGAUGUGUUUUUCAUGUCUGUACUUCGAAAAAUGAGGCCACAACAGCGAGUUAAAAAAGUCUGAGCUUGAGCGAUGAUCCGGAUUUUCUUGGAGAAAAAUAACAUUACAGUCAAUGGGAGAGAUUUCCGCCUUUUUUGGACAGUUGGUCACCUGCUGGCCAAGGGGUACGAUUUAAUGAUUUGAAACCUCUUUUGUGAGAAGCAGGACACAUAUACCUCCAUUUUGAUGUAUUUUUUAUGUCUGUGGAGUGAGAUUUGUGGGCGUGGGAGCGAUAUAUUCGAGCGAGGUUCUGUCGAUCAGAGACGAGGUCUGCACUCUAGCUGAUGACAUCAUCACUCUAAACUCUCCAAUACACACCCAUUAUAAAGCCUGAAAUUUGCUGAAAACCACAAGUUGCUUAAAGCUAAAUUGUGGAAAAACUGUAAAAGAUAUCAAAAAACUGAGUACAACAUUAAUAGUCGACAAGUGAAUGAACAUUUUAAAGCAAAAAUGAGGUCUCUAGGUGAAAGUAUGCUGAAGUUAUAAGGUUAGAAGGUGGAAGAAUAACAGGAAGAAUUGGAAGAUUUCCCCAUUCAUUUCAAUGGUUAAAAUUUUUGCACAAAAAGUUAAAAAAAUCAAAAAGUAUAAAGGGUAGAAAAGUGAAAAGUAAUACGCCUCAUGUCCUGAAGGAGUGGAAUAGUUUAAAGUUUGAACGGUUGAAAUCGGCACAAAGUUUGAAGGAGGAGAAGCGGCCAAAAAAAUGGCGGAAGAAAAUAAUAAUAAUAACUAGAAAAAUUGCAUUUCCUUGCAGAAAAUGCGUGGAAAUGCUGAGUGCUGAAAGCUGAAAAAGCAAUGCUAAACUGCUAAUAAAACAUGGAGAAAGGUAUAAAUGUUAAAGCUGUUGAAGGGGUGAAAGAAAUAUAAGUUGGAUAAUUGAUUAAUUGGUUGAAGGACAAAUAGUAUGAAUAUGCUCUAUAAAAGGAAAUUUUAUUCAUGCUGAAAGAGGCUAGAAAAAUGUCGAAAAUUGCACAAAGUUUGAAUGAAGAAGGAAAUUGCCUUAAAAGGCAGGAAGGUGAGAAGUGGCAUAAGUUUAAAUUGUAGUACUAGAAGUAGUAUGAUAAGAAGUCAAGUUGUGAUACUAGUAGUCAUGUCAGCAGUAGAAGUAGAUUGAGAAUAAAAGAAGUAUAAGUCAAAGUAGUAAAGAAAGUAGAAAUAGGAGCAAUAGCAGUUGAAGUAGAGGGGAAAGUUCUAGUUUAAUUGACAUUAGCAGUAGUUGUCGUACUUGAGGUAGGAUUUUGUUUGAAUGAUGGAGUAAUGCAUAAAUAUUAAAACUAAUUUAAAACAGGGAAAUUUUAAAUUAUCAAAAGUCCUCAAGUAUCAGAAAGUUUUGAAGUAUUAGAAAGGUUUGAAUCAGUUUGAAUGAGUUUAAAUUAGUUUGAAAAAUUAAAUGAUAAAUCAUCACUGACUGACUUUUAAAAUGUGAAAAAUUUAAAUGAAUAACAAUCCUAAAUACACCCAAUAAUGUCCUCAAUGAGCUUAAAUUUCAAAGCCCUGAAUGGUUUCUGUAGGUCAAAGGUCAUGUGAGGGGAUUGGGGCUGAAGUUUUUUCCAACGCUCUAGGAAAGGGUUUUAAGUGUCAUCCCAAUUGCUAUGUGUACUGAGCCUGGCUUCAUGUGUCUCAUAUGGCCACUAGAAGCAGCUUUCCAGUCAGCUGUGUGUCUCCAGGUGCACAAAUUGGUUGCCAUGGGGACCUUGGAUGCAUAACUAUAGCAGGAGAAAGAAGGCUUGAAGCUAAAGAAACAGGACUCCAAGUAGGCCCUGACGCUCACCCUCUGUAUAUAUUCAUAAGGAGCUUGUGAGAACACAAGACUCUGCUGAACACAUUAAUACAAUUUAUUAUCACAAUCCUCAAAACACCCCAUAAUAUCUUCAAUGAGCUGAAUUUUUGAAGCCCAGAAUGGUUUCUGUUGCUCAAAGUUUGUGGGUGGAGAUAGGUGGUGAAGCAGACACAUAUUAACUGUGUGUACAAGCAGCUGAACUGCAAGGUGGACCUCAAAAAGCAACAAGUACAAGAAGGUGUGUGUGCGUGUGUGUGUGUGUGUCUCGUUAAUGACUGCAUCCUAAACAGCUGUGAGAUCAAAGGCAAAUCACUAACCUACUGUUUGACUGAGAGGUGCUGAACUGCAGUGAAUUUCAGCCUGUGAACUUCUUCACAUAGCGUGAUUUCCUUAAGUCCCAGAAUGAAAAUAAGAACAUCGUACGAAUCCUCCGUCCUUCAUGAACACAAUGAUGUGUUUUUCAUGUCUGUACUUCGAAAAAUGAGGCCACAACAGCGAGUUAAAAAAGUCUGAGCUUGAGCGAUGAUCCGGAUUUUCUUGGAGAAAAAUAACAUUACAGUCAAUGGGAGAGAUUUCCGCCUUUUUUGGACAGUUGGUCACCUGCUGGCCAAGGGGUACGAUUUAAUGAUUUGAAACCUCUUUUGUGAGAAGCAGGACACAUAUACCUCCAUUUUGAUGUAUUAU
Non-coding RNA from Xyrichtys novacula (pearly razorfish), 11576 nucleotides. Lineage: Eukaryota; Metazoa; Chordata; Actinopteri; Labriformes; Labridae. The record is from the annotation of a GenBank genome assembly.